Long non-coding RNA from Varanus komodoensis (Komodo dragon), 1532 nucleotides. RefSeq lists it as uncharacterized. Lineage: Eukaryota; Metazoa; Chordata; Lepidosauria; Squamata; Varanidae. The record is from RefSeq and is a predicted model, not a curated record. The transcript has 4 exons.
UCCCUUUUCUGUUCACCUAUAUAUGGAGUAGGCAGUGGGUGGAUCUGAAAGUAGGGGUGUGUGCGCACAGAUUUGAGGGAGAAUUUAGCCAGGAAAGCUGGACUUGAAUUGCUCUGCAAAGUCAACUCCUGCGAAGGGCUAACAUCCAACUCUCAGGAGCAUCAAGCACCCAUCCAGGCGGACCACUCUGGACCAUUCAAGAGAAAAAUUAAGUCCUUUAUGUUUUGUAACUAUUAGUUUUGAUUAUCAGCUGGGAGGGGAGUUUUCUUGACUAAUAAUUUUUAAAGGUUUUUCUUAUUUUUAUGUGUGGCUGUGAAUUUUUUUAAAGAAAAUAUUUUAGAGCAAGCAAUUAGCAGCUGCCUGAAGUAAUCUAAACUCCAUUAGGAUAUUUCAGGUAUGGUCACUGAUAUAAAAUGUGAAAAUAUUUUAAGAAUUUUAAAGAGCCAAAUGGACACGGAUGAUUGUGAAUACCAAUCUGAAUUUUACUAACAUUUUGGCAGCAAAAAUCACUGAUAUUCAGAAAGAACACCUGGAGGAAUAACACCAGUCAAGCAAGCAUUUUAUUGUCUUCUUUUUUCAGCCACCUUGAGCACUAUUCUGAGAGGAAAGGCAGGAUAGAAAUUUAAUAUAUAAGCAACAGUGAGAAAGAACUGGAUUUAUGACGAUAUGGAAACAAGAGAACUCUUUUAAUUCUGUACCAAAACCUCUAUUCAGGAACAAAAGCUAUAGUUUAUCGUUUUUAUCCAUAUGCACAAAGAACAAUUUGCUUUUGUUUUUAAGUUCUAACUUGAGUUACCAGGCUAAACUGAUUUAUUAGCGCUCCCUGUUGAAGUAAGUUCUUCCCUUUAUCUGGACCCUGAAAACUAACAUUUUGGACACCCGAAACGUUGGCUGUGACCAACACUGCCUCUGGUCUACUGUGACAACAUCAAAAGUACCCACUGUCCGUGGUUCUUGUAAGUGCUGGCAUGGAGGAAGUGUGGGUUGUCUAUCUGUGCAUGAUCCUCUUCGUCAUCGUCAUUAUUUUGAUGAAGCAAAAGCCAGCUGACGAAGUCAGGCGAGAGAAAGCGGAUCAGAGCCAGCCAGCUCCAGCUACUUCUUUCACCGGCAGUUUGGGGAAACGCCUGGAGUAUACCGAGGAAGAACUGGAGAAAUCGCUGCAUCGACUCUCUGGUAUCUUGUUCGGUGGUGAUGCACGGAAGAGGGAGCCUCAUGCAGAGCACCAAGCUGCUCAGCAUCACAGCAGGACUCAGGAGAAAGCGUAGCAGCCUUCCAGGCAUGACAAUCUUUUCGCUGAGAUGGGACUGAAACAACAGACGAAUUUUAGAUCCAGCACGCUCCAUUUCGCACUGUGGGCAACUGAUGCUUGAAGCUUGUUGCAUCUUUGCUGAAGGAAGAGAUGUCCAAAUACAAGAAAAACAGGAGGCGAACUCCCACUUUCCCUCUGGACCCCAAAGCUGCAUGUUCGCCACAACUGUUAGGCUUUUAAUGCGAGUUUUGUGAAAGGCAAAUAUUAUUCUGUGUGAGGUCAA